GGCGUCGGGUCGCCACCAGCCGAUUCGACACAAAUUCCCGGAAGGACCCGGAGUCCCUCAGAGCCCCGAGAGGGCUUACCCCACCGUGGGCGCACGGGAGGGCUGCGAGGUCCCAGGUAGACUCCCCCAGCGAACAGAUUUGCACGAUUAUGCGUCAGUGGGCCUUCAAGGAGGCAGCUCCAUCCGACACAUGCUGACCGAAACUCACGAGGACCUUCAGAGCACAGGCUUGUACAGGGGCCCUGACGCCCUGGCUGACCGACGGGAGUACACACUUCUGUUUGUGUUCUUUCGCCCCCUGGUUCUUAAAGGCUCAUUAGACAUCACAUCAGAUAAGGACUUAGACUCAGUGUUGCUCAGCUCAGAUGAUCCUCCGAUAAGGAAACGGAUCGAGAGGUUAAUGAUUUGCCCACCUUCACCCAUCCAUGCCUUCCAAUGUCAAGACAAAAGUUGGGGAAAGGAAGGGCUUUAUGGAGAAGAUCAGUGCUGACCAGCCUUUGAAGGGCGAACAAGAUUUGAAUCAGCAGAGAUGAGGAAAGUCUAGGAAAAGUUAAUGUGCCAGAGAGUGGAGAUGAGCGUCCAGGUGCCUGGGAUUCCCUCUGCCUGGCCUUGCUUCAGCUGACCUCCCUCUUGUAGUUAGGCCCCCGCUGAUGGACCCUCCGGAAAUGGCUUCUUCCCUCCCUCCUGCCCCAAGGGCGGGUUGGCUGCAAAAGCUGGAUUCCCUUUCUACAGAGGGAAUAGAAAAAUAAAGAAUGUAUUAGUUAUAGAAAUAGCAUUGCACACACCCACCAGAAUGCCUAAAAUGGAAAUGAUGGAAAGUGCAAAGUGAUGCUCUGGGACUCUCGCACACAGCUGAGAGGAAUGUGGAUUUGUACAGCCACUAUGGAGAACUCUUUGACCGUGGCUACUGAAGCCAACCAUACACACCUUAUGGGUGACCAGCAGUUCCACCCUAGGAGUAUACAAGAGUAGACAAGCUCAACAGAGUGAAGUCACCUUUCCCAGAACUGUGAAAUUUCAUAUUACUUCUCUUCCUGUUCCGGUCUGUGGUUCUGGAGAAGUACACACAAUUUCCCAUAAGCAGAGCAGUGUUAGUAUAGACACUGAAAAACGCUCACUGAUCAAUGUCCCUGUGAUGGAUGACACAUUCAUUGACCAAAUACGAAUUGAGAAGAUUCUCGGAGCCAAAUCAGAAGAUAGGCACUAGAGGGUACAGAGACAACACAGUCACUGCCCCUGGCCUCAGGGUGAGAGAAAAGCAGCCAAAUAAUUGCCAUACGAUGUGUUUCUGCUUGAUUAUACUGAGGUUAAAGAUUUUUGGAAAAAAUACUUCUCAAAUGAUGCUGGUGCUUCAUACUGUAUCACAUCAGGAGACACAUAAUGUCAGGAGGAACCAGAUCAUUGCAGCUCUAUUUACAAUAGCCAGGACAUGGAAGCA
Non-coding RNA from Delphinapterus leucas (beluga whale), 1438 nucleotides. NCBI's taxonomy places the organism in Eukaryota, Metazoa, Chordata, Mammalia, Artiodactyla, Monodontidae. The record is from RefSeq and is a predicted model, not a curated record.